CCACCGAAAGGGCAAACUCACCCGAAAGGGGAGGGCGCAAAGUCUCCGGCCUACAGCCUUCGGGCCAGGGUAGCGGGAUUGCCGAA
RNAcentral lists this non-coding RNA (86 nucleotides) under Desulfobacca sp. RNAcentral describes it as "c-di-GMP sequence". It matches the Rfam family "c-di-GMP-I riboswitch aptamer". From Rfam's summary of the family: GEMM was predicted in a large-scale screen for bacterial structured RNA regulatory elements. Genes associated with GEMM are involved in a diverse array of functions, including chemotaxis regulation, signal transduction, secretion and chitin. Lineage: Bacteria; Pseudomonadati; Thermodesulfobacteriota; Desulfobaccia; Desulfobaccales; Desulfobaccaceae. The record is from RNAcentral.